RNAcentral lists this ribosomal RNA (798 nucleotides) under uncultured Spiroplasma sp. Its description in RNAcentral is "bacterial SSU rRNA". It matches the Rfam family "Bacterial small subunit ribosomal RNA", at positions 125 to 918 of the family's 1533-position model. The record is from RNAcentral. Lineage: Bacteria; Bacillati; Mycoplasmatota; Mollicutes; Entomoplasmatales; Spiroplasmataceae.
UCUANCCAUUAGCGGGGGAUAACAGUUGGAAACGACUGCUAAUACCGCAUACGACAUUUUUUGGCAUCAAAGAAUGUUAAAAGGUCCGUUUGGAUCACUAAUGGAUGAGGGUGCGGCGUAUUAGUUAGUUGGUGGGGUAAUGGCCUACCAAGACAGUGAUACGUAGCCGAACUGAGAGGUUGAUCGGCCACAUCGGGACUGAGACACGGCCCGAACUCCUACGGGAGGCAGCANUAGGGAAUUUUUCACAAUGGGCGAAAGCCUGAUGGAGCAAUGCCGCGUGACUGAAGACGGUCUUCGGAUUGUAAAGGUCUGUUGUAAGGGAAGAACAGUAAGUAUAGGAAAUGAUACUUAUUUGACGGUACCUUACCAGAAAGCCACGGCUAACUAUGUGCCAGCAGCCGCGGUAAUACAUAGGUGGCAAGCGUUAUCCGGAUUUAUUGGGCGUAAAGCGUGCGCAGACGGUUUAACAAGUUUGGGGUCAAAUCCUGGAGCUUAACUCCAGUUCGCCUUGAAAACUGUUAAGCUAGAGUGUAGGAGAGGUCGAUGGAAUUCCAUGUGUAGCGGUGAAAUGCGUAGAUAUAUGGAGGAACACCAGUGGCGAAGGCGGUCGACUGGCCUACUACUGACGUUUAGGCACGAAAGCGUAGGGAGCAAAUAGGAUUAGAUACCCUAGUAGUCUACGCCGUAAACGAUGAGUACUAAGUGUCGGACUAAGUUCGGNGCUGCAGCUAACGCAUUAAGUACUCCGCCUGANUAGUAUGCUCGCANGAGUGAAACUCAAAGGAAUUGACGGGG